RNAcentral lists this ribosomal RNA (279 nucleotides) under uncultured bacterium. RNAcentral describes it as "partial 16S ribosomal RNA". It matches the Rfam family "Bacterial small subunit ribosomal RNA", at positions 506 to 784 of the family's 1533-position model. The record is from RNAcentral.
UGCCAGCCGCCGCGGUAAUACGGAAGGGGCUAGCGUUGUUCGGAAUUACUGGGCGUAAAGAGCGCGUAGGCGGCUCUUCAAGUUAGGCGUGAAAGGCCUGGGCUCAACCUGGGAACUGCGUUUAAUACUGGAGAGCUUGAGUCCGGGAGAGGGUGGUGGAAUUCCCAGUGUAGAGGUGAAAUUCGUAGAUAUUGGGAGGAACACCAGUGGCGAAGGCGGCUUUCUGGACCGAUACUGACGCUGAGACGCGAAAGCGUGGGGAGCAAACGGGAUUAGAUA